This 254-nucleotide ribosomal RNA is filed under the name uncultured bacterium. RNAcentral describes it as "partial 16S ribosomal RNA". It matches the Rfam family "Bacterial small subunit ribosomal RNA", at positions 524 to 776 of the family's 1533-position model. The record is from RNAcentral.
UACGGAGGGUGCGAGCGUUGUCCGGAAUUAUUGGGCGUAAAGAGCUCGUAGGCGGUGUGUCGCGUCGGCCGUGAAAACCUGCAGCUUAACUGUGGGCUUGCGGUCGAUACGGGCAUCACUGGAGUUCGGCAGGGGAGACUGGAAUUCCUGGUGUAGCGGUGAAAUGCGCAGAUAUCAGGAGGAACACCGGUGGCGAAGGCGGGUCUCUGGGCCGAUACUGACGCUGAGGAGCGAAAGCGUGGGGAGCAAACAGG